Molecule: long non-coding RNA, 597 nt
Organism: Alligator sinensis (Chinese alligator)
Lineage: Eukaryota; Metazoa; Chordata; Crocodylia; Alligatoridae
Exons: 3
Source: RefSeq, a predicted model, not a curated record
CGGGCUGGGACAGAGUUACUGGGGCUCAUCUCCAGCCUCGUGCGCUUAGCAAGAGCUGUGGGAUGUGGAGUCUACCUUCUCCCCCCUCUUCCACACACCGCAGCCUCCGUCUGCCUUAGUCCCAGGCCAGUGCAGGAGACGAGCAGGGCUUUCCCCGUGCCCGCAGCCCCAGCGCUGCCCUGUGCGCUCUUCUGCGCCCGCAGGUGCUGGGACCCCGAGCAGCGCUGAGCAGAAACCUCCUGGAGAAGAGCCUGUGAAGCUGGAGCUGCAGAGGACUUGCCCAGGGGGACUGGAGGAGAGGGGCUCCCUGACUCCUGAGCCAGGCCCAGUGCAGUAGGCGCAGGACAGACGUCCAAAGCAGGGGCCGAGCCUGGAGCUCCCGGCGGUGUGUGAGGACGUGGCAGUGUGUUUCACGCGGGAGGAGUGGGAGCUGCUGGACGAUGAAGGCAAGGAGCUUUACCGGGACCAGAUGCUGAGGCAUUCCCGAGCCCUCGUUUCCCUGGGAUAGCGAGGUCCCACCCCUGACUUCACCUGCCAGCUCCAGCAAGGCCAGGGGCAGCUCUGGGGCUGUGACGAUGAGGACCGUGGGGAAAUCUC